RNAcentral lists this transfer RNA (75 nucleotides) under Myxococcales bacterium. Its description in RNAcentral is "tRNA-Thr". It matches the Rfam family "tRNA". Rfam says of the family: Transfer RNA (tRNA) molecules are approximately 80 nucleotides in length. Their secondary structure includes four short double-helical elements and three loops (D, anti-codon, and T loops). The record is from RNAcentral. RNAcentral also lists the same sequence under 2 other names. Lineage: Bacteria; Pseudomonadati; Myxococcota; Myxococcia; Myxococcales.
GCCGAUUUAGCUCAGUGGUAGAGCAGCGCUUUCGUAAAGCGCAGGUCCCCGGUUCAAGUCCGGGAAUCGGCUCCA